This 447-nucleotide ribosomal RNA is filed under the name uncultured bacterium. RNAcentral describes it as "SSU rRNA". It matches the Rfam family "Bacterial small subunit ribosomal RNA", at positions 26 to 518 of the family's 1533-position model. The record is from RNAcentral.
AGAGCGAACGCUGGCGGCAGGCCUAAUACAUGCAAGUCGAACGGAUCCUUCGGGAUUAGUGGCGGACGGGUGAGUAACACGUGGGAACGUACCCUUUGGUUCGGAACAACUCAGGGAAACUUGAGCUAAUACCGAAUGUGCCCUUCGGGGAAAAGAUUUAUCGCCAUUGGAGCGGCCCGCGUCUGAUUAGCUAGUUGGUAGGGUAAAGGCCUACCAAGGCUACGAUCAGUAGCUGGUCUGAGAGGAUGAUCAGCCACACUGGGACUGAGACACGGCCCAGACUCCUACGGGAGGCAGCAGUAGGGAAUCUUGCGCAAUGGGCGAAAGCCUGACGCAGCCAUGCCGCGUGAAUGAUGAAGGUCUUAGGAUUGUAAAAUUCUUUCAGCGGGGACGAUAAUGACGGUACCCGCAGAAGAAGCCCCGGCUAACGUUCGUGCCAGCAGCCGC